AUACGUAGGGGGCGAGCGUUGUCCGGAAUGAUUGGGCGUAAAGGGCGCGUAGGCGGCCUGUUAAGUCUGGAGUGAAAGUCCUGUUUUCAAGAUGGGAAUUGCUUUGGAUACUGAUGGGCUUGAGUGCAGGAGAGGUUAUCGGAAUUCCCGGUGUAGCGGUGAAAUGCGUAGAGAUCGGGAGGAACACCAGUGGCGAAGGCGGGUAACUGGACUGCAACUGACGCUGAGGCGCGAAAGUGUGGGGAGCAAACAGGAUUUGAUACCCUGGUAGUCCACACUGUAAACGAUGAAUGCUAGGUGUAAGAGGUAUCGACCCCUUUUGUGCCGGAGUUAACACAAUAAGCAUUCCGCCUGGGGAGUACGGCCGCAAGGUUGAAACUCAAAUGAAUUGACGGGG
Molecule: ribosomal RNA, 397 nt
Filed under: uncultured bacterium
Lineage: Bacteria
Description: partial 16S ribosomal RNA
Rfam family: Bacterial small subunit ribosomal RNA
Source: RNAcentral